Molecule: ribosomal RNA, 382 nt
Filed under: uncultured bacterium
Lineage: Bacteria
Description: bacterial SSU rRNA
Rfam family: Bacterial small subunit ribosomal RNA
Source: RNAcentral
GACGAACGCUGGCGGCGUGCUUAACACAUGCAAGUCGAACGGUGAAGCCUUCGGGUGGAUCAGUGGCGAACGGGUGAGUAACACGUGAGCAAUCUGCCCUUGACUCUGGGAUAACUUCGGGAAACCGGAGCUAAUACCGGAUAUGACAUCUGGCCGCAUGGUCUGGGUGUGGAAAGAUUUAUCGGUCAGGGAUGAGCUCGCGGCCUAUCAGCUUGUUGGUGGGGAAUGGCCCACCAAGGCGACGACGGGUAGCCGGCCUGAGAGGGCGACCGGCCACACUGGGACUGAGACACGGCCCAGACUCCUACGGGAGGCAGCAGUGGGGAAUAUUGCGCAAUGGGCGAAAGCCUGACGCAGCGACGCCGCGUGAGGGAUGAAGGCC